RNAcentral lists this transfer RNA (69 nucleotides) under Barathronus diaphanus. RNAcentral's name for it is "tRNA-His". It matches the Rfam family "tRNA". From Rfam's summary of the family: Transfer RNA (tRNA) molecules are approximately 80 nucleotides in length. Their secondary structure includes four short double-helical elements and three loops (D, anti-codon, and T loops). The record is from RNAcentral. Lineage: Eukaryota; Metazoa; Chordata; Actinopteri; Ophidiiformes; Aphyonidae.
GCAGAUAUAGUUUAACGAAAACGCCAGAUUGUGAUUCUGAAAACAGAGGUUGAACCCCCCUUAUCCGCC